GUAUGACGGAUCCACCCUGUCACUCGUAGUUACAAGACCUGACCAGACGGAAGCCAGAGACGAGCAGAUUGUACCAGCCGACCCUAACACGGUGGCACGGCGCCACUGCGCUCUAAGCAUUGGCUAUGGGGGCAGAGAGUCAAACUACUUCAGAGGCUUUAUUGAUCUGGUUCAGGUAUUAACUUGCAACUAAACGGUUUUCAAAUUCUGGUGGCGGAAAACUGUCCUCUCGGUCAGGGCGGAAGUCACGUGAUCUACAAGACCGUCAUUAUAAGAAAAAACCACACCGGAUGAAGAGAUGUAAAAUAGCAAUCUGUGAUUGGCUGUCAAACAUUCACGCGGCAGUGUCUUAAUAUUGCGUGCGAAAACGGUCCUUUUUCAGUGAAGGCUUGUCUUUGAAAAACUGAUCCUUGAUCAUGGGAAAUAUUUAUUCCGAAGACUGGCUGUGUCUGUUUGACAACGCUGAUCUGUCUGUGACGUCAGGAGACAAAAAUUCAUAUAUGGACUACUUC
Molecule: long non-coding RNA, 512 nt
Organism: Liolophura sinensis
Lineage: Eukaryota; Metazoa; Mollusca; Polyplacophora; Chitonida; Chitonidae
Exons: 3
Source: RefSeq, a predicted model, not a curated record